CCUACGGGGGACUGCAGUGGGGAAUAUUGCACAAUGGGGGAAACCCUGAUGCAGCGACGCCGCGUGAGUGAAGAAGUAUUUCGGUACGUAAAGCUCUAUCAGCAGGGAAGAAAAUGACGGUACCUGACUAAGAAGCCCCGGCUAACUACGUGCCAGCAGCCGCGGUAAUACGUAGGGGGCAAGCGUUAUCCGGAUUUACUGGGUGUAAAGGGAGCGUAGACGGCAGCGCAAGUCUGGAGUGAAAUCCCAUGGCUUAACCAUGGAACUGCUUUGGAAACUGUGCAGCUAGAGUGCAGGAGAGGUAAGCGGAAUUCCUAGUGUAGCGGUGAAAUGCGUAGAUAUUAGGAGGAACACCAGUGGCGAAGGCGGCUUACUGGACUGUAACUGACGUUGAGGCUCGAAAGCGUGGGGAGCAAACAGGAUUAGAUACCCCAGUAGUC
RNAcentral lists this ribosomal RNA (440 nucleotides) under uncultured bacterium. Its description in RNAcentral is "partial 16S ribosomal RNA". It matches the Rfam family "Bacterial small subunit ribosomal RNA", at positions 338 to 795 of the family's 1533-position model. The record is from RNAcentral.